UUUACUUGUUGACUAUUUAUGCAAUAAUGCAGUGUGGCGUAGUUUCUCCAAUUAAUCAGUGUAGUUUUUCAACGAAAACAAUCUCUAUCUUUUAUGUUUUGAACUUAAAUGUCACAUUCAUUACAAACUCAUUAUAAAGUGUUCAUGUCAUCAUAAUAACACAGAAUCAUGAAAUACUUCUACUACGGAGUUGUUACUAUUACAUUAUUUUUUAUCCUUUUGGCCAUAGCUGAUUGUGAAAGAGGAAAAAAGAAAAUACCCGAGUUCAUUCUUAUUGUAAAACCAAACGUCAAGUCUCGAGAAAGGAGGAAUAGUGAAACAUGCUGCUUUGUAUCGAACUGCAAAGAAAUACCGUUGAACACUGAAAAUCACAACUUGUUUCAGUGCUACAGAACUACGGUGUGCGGUGACAUUUGCAAAAAAGUGAAUCAGAAGCAAAAAUCAGGGUUUCCUUCAACCCCAGGAUAUCAAAAAAGACUUUAUUACAUGAAAAAAAUAUGUAUAUUCAGGGAAUGUGUGGAUAACAGAAUUGAUUGCAGUGUAUGUCCCAAUCCAGAGAAAGGGGAUUUCAGUAUUUAUAAUUUAAGUGAUUUAUGUCGCGGAUGUUAUUACUGAUAUAUAUUUUUUCUGGAAAUCAGGAUAAUUCAAAGUGAUACAUACAUGUUGUACUACUGUCUCGAAUAUUGAUGAGAUAAUAAGA
Leptinotarsa decemlineata (Colorado potato beetle) is the source of this 700-nucleotide long non-coding RNA. RefSeq lists it as uncharacterized. The record is from RefSeq and is a predicted model, not a curated record. NCBI's taxonomy places the organism in Eukaryota, Metazoa, Arthropoda, Insecta, Coleoptera, Chrysomelidae.